RNAcentral lists this unclassified non-coding RNA (88 nucleotides) under Pseudomonas brassicacearum. Lineage: Bacteria; Pseudomonadati; Pseudomonadota; Gammaproteobacteria; Pseudomonadales; Pseudomonadaceae. The record is from RNAcentral.
UGUGGGAGCGAGCUUGCUCGCGAUAGCGGUGUAUCAGUCGACAUUAGUUGAAUGUCAGUACGCAAUCGCGAGCAAGCUCGCUCCCACA